CCAGUAGCUCAAUUCGGCAGAGCACCGGACUCUUAAUCCGUUGGUUGAAGGUUCGAGUCCUUCCUGGCC
This 69-nucleotide transfer RNA is filed under the name marine eukaryotic metagenome. It matches the Rfam family "tRNA". Rfam says of the family: Transfer RNA (tRNA) molecules are approximately 80 nucleotides in length. Their secondary structure includes four short double-helical elements and three loops (D, anti-codon, and T loops). The record is from RNAcentral.